Long non-coding RNA from Beta vulgaris subsp. vulgaris (sugar beet), 1564 nucleotides. RefSeq lists it as uncharacterized. Lineage: Eukaryota; Viridiplantae; Streptophyta; Magnoliopsida; Caryophyllales; Amaranthaceae. The transcript has 3 exons. The record is from RefSeq and is a predicted model, not a curated record.
GAUAAUCACUAACAAACAAAUGGGAUAAGUUUGAAAUUUAAUGGAUUGACUGAUAUCUGAGGAGCUUCCGAGCUUAUCUAGGAAGUUGUAUCAUGAUCAUCAUGGUGACAACUGACGCAAAUAAGUACAUGCAUCCAAGUGCAUGUUGUAAUAUCCCGAAAAUUUAAACUUCUUUAAAUUAUAUAAUAAUAAUUAGUGGCCAAAUUUUUCAGUUAAUAAUAAGUUAUAAUCAAAAUUUCGUUAUUUUAUGUCCAAGUAAUGGAUAAUUAGUUCAUUAAAUGUAUAUAUAUUAUGUAUGGUUAAGAGUUACAAAUAAUAACAAGUUAUGUUAAAUGAUUUCAUUAGUUAAAAUAAGAAAACAAAUAAAUACACAAAACAAUUACUUGAACCUUACAAAGUUGGGUCAAAUUGGUUUUGGUAAUAAAAAGAAAAAGAAAAAGAGAAAAGAAAAGAAAAGAAGAGAAAAAGAAAAAGGAAAAAAGAAGAAUUUGAGAAAAAAACUGAGUUUUUCUUCUCCUUCGACCCAUUUCAGUUUUUUUUCUUCACAAACAACCCAUCCAUGAAUUUCUAACCCAAAACGGAUUUUGUUGCACACAAAAAAACUCAACUUCAAACUAAAUUCAUUACUCACCCCAAAUCACCCAAUAACCCGUUUAAUUCCAUUCAAAUUUCAUCAAUUCAAUUGGGUAAAAUUUGAGCUCAACCAUGGCUAUAAAUAGCCAUGUUCAUUCCCUCAAACCACCAUCCACUCAUCACUAACAAUUCAUUCAAAAACUCCCCGGAAUCCCCCUACCACGCCGGAAAACACCACCCCAAAACACCCCUCAAAUUCCCUGUUUUUUUUUUUCGCACAACCCCUCCCUUUUACUCCUUUGUUUUCGGACAGCCACCGCAGCCCCACCGCGGCGCCGCCGCAUUCCUGCGCCUCCUGUGCGCCACCAUAGAACCACCUCACCGACGCCUUCUCUCUCCUCUCGCCUACACCCUCACUCGCUCGCCCCUUCUUUCUCCUUCUUCUCUCUCCCUCGCACCUCACCUUCGUCGUCCUCACGCUGCACCAACAGACUUCGUCGCUCGACGGAAGCCGACGAACACCAUCGUUCCACUGCUGUCGGAGCUCUGACCCCACCGCCGGCCAUUCUCCUUCCUCUGCCCUGUUUUCGUGCCUGCUCAAAAUGAGCAGAGAUUAAACGGAAAGGAUAUUACAGCCUCCCCCGGCUUUCAAGGAUAUUAAGCAGGAAUCCAGGUAUGAGCAUAGCCAUUGCAAGUGCGCAGUUAAUAAGGAACAUGUUCAAGGGAAAGUGUGCGGUAUCUGCUGUUGGAGAAAUUAUUAUUAUUAUUUGGGUCGAGUAUUUAUGUAUAGUUAUCAAGGACUAUUUAAGGUUGCAUUGUAUUAGUGGGCCAAUAUCCCACAGGCUUAAGUUCCAUUUCCGCUGCUAAGUAUGAGCAAUUGUGUUUAAUUAAGGUUAUGAAUUUUCGGGGCGUUACACAUGUAGAGCAUGGUGCACCCUUUUUUAAACUACGUCGUUUUAUCAUUUUUAGAGUCUAUAAUUUUUAAAAAGUA